RNAcentral lists this ribosomal RNA (478 nucleotides) under uncultured bacterium. RNAcentral describes it as "partial 16S ribosomal RNA". It matches the Rfam family "Bacterial small subunit ribosomal RNA", at positions 28 to 523 of the family's 1533-position model. The record is from RNAcentral.
GAUGAACGCUGGCGGCGUGCCAAACACAUGCAAGUCGAGCGGAGCAAAUAGCAAUAUUUGCUUAGCGGCGGACGGGUGAGUAACGCGUGGGCAACCUGCCUUUCAGAGGGGGAUAACACAGGGAAACUUGUGCUAAUACCGCAUAACGUACCGAGAGGACAUCCUCAUGGUACCAAAGGAGUAAUCCGCUGAAAGAUGGGCCCGCGUCCGAUUAGCUAGUUGGUGGUGUAACGGACCACCAAGGCGACGAUCGGUAGCCGAACUGAGAGGUUGAGCGGCACAUUGGGACUGGGACCCGGCCAAGACUCCUACGGGAGGCAGCAGUGGGGAAUAUUGCGCAAUGGGGGAAACCCUGACGCAGCAACGCCGCGUGAAGGAUGAAGGCCUUCGGGUUGUAAACUUCUUUGAUUGGGGACGAAAAAAAUGACGGUACCCAAAAAACAAGCCAUGGCUAACUACGUGCCAGCCGCCGCGGUAA